RNAcentral lists this ribosomal RNA (434 nucleotides) under uncultured bacterium. RNAcentral's name for it is "bacterial SSU rRNA". It matches the Rfam family "Bacterial small subunit ribosomal RNA", at positions 30 to 504 of the family's 1533-position model. The record is from RNAcentral.
UGAACGCUGGCGGUAUGCUUUACACAUGCAAGUCGUACGAGAGUUUUUAACUCAAGUGGCGGACGGGUGAGUAACACGUAAGAAUUUGCCUUUAGGAGGGGGACAACAACUGGAAACGGUUGCUAAUACCCCAUAUGCUUUCGAGUGAAACGGUUUUUCCGCCUAAAGAGAAGCUCGCGGCUGAUUAGCUUGUUGGUAAGGUAAUGGCUUACCAAGGCGACGAUCAGUAUCUGGUUUGAGAGGACGACCAGACACACUGGAACUGAGACAGGGUCCAGACUCCUACGGGAGGCAGCAGUGGGGAAUUUUCCGCAAUGGGCGAAAGCCUGACGGAGCAAUACCGCGUGAAGGAAGACGGCCUAUGGGUUGUAAACUUCUUUUCUCAGGGAGGAACUCAAUGACGUGUACCUGAGGAAUAAGCAUCGGCUAACUCC